CGGUGGAGCAUGUGGUAUAAUUCGAAGCAACGCGAAGAACCUCACCUGGCCGUGACAUGCUGAGAACUUUCCAGAGAUGGAUUGGUGCCUUCGGGAACUCAGACACAGGUGCUGCAUGGCGGUCGUCAGCUCGUGUCGUGAGAUGUUGGGUUAAGUCCCGUAACGAGCGCAACCCUUGUCCUUAGUUACCAGCACGUUAU
This 200-nucleotide ribosomal RNA is filed under the name Pseudomonas sp. RNAcentral describes it as "partial 16S ribosomal RNA". It matches the Rfam family "Bacterial small subunit ribosomal RNA", at positions 930 to 1129 of the family's 1533-position model. The record is from RNAcentral. Lineage: Bacteria; Pseudomonadati; Pseudomonadota; Gammaproteobacteria; Pseudomonadales; Pseudomonadaceae.